UACAUAGGCCCCAAGCGUUAUCCGGAAUUACUGGGCGUAAAGAGUUUGUAGGCGGGGAGGUAAGUUUGACAUGAAAGACCGGAGCUUAACUCCGUGUUUGUGUUGAAAACUGCUUCUCUAGAAUCAGGGAGAGGCAAGCAGAACUGUGCGAGGAGGGGUGCAAUCCGUAGAUACGCACAAGAAUACCAAAAGCGAAGGCAGCUUGCUGGAACUGUAUUGACGCUGAGAAACGAAAGCGUGGGGAGCAAAAAGG
This 253-nucleotide ribosomal RNA is filed under the name uncultured bacterium. Its description in RNAcentral is "partial 16S ribosomal RNA". It matches the Rfam family "Bacterial small subunit ribosomal RNA", at positions 524 to 776 of the family's 1533-position model. The record is from RNAcentral.